This 63-nucleotide transfer RNA is filed under the name Sahlbergotettix salicicola. Its description in RNAcentral is "tRNA-Pro". The record is from RNAcentral. Lineage: Eukaryota; Metazoa; Arthropoda; Insecta; Hemiptera; Cicadellidae.
CAGUAAAUAGUUUAUUAAAAAUUUAAGUUUUGGGAAUUUAAGAUGCUAUUUUAGUUUUACUGA